AGAUGGAACCCAGGGCCCCAGAGUCACUCAGUCCCACCCUACUGGUAAGCCUCAGACAGCUCCUGGCUUUGCCAAGCUGCCAGCGGCAGCCUGUUAAAGGCACAUCCUUCUAGAGUAUACCCUAACUGGGAACCCACAGCUGAGGCCUCAGGGUAGGUGUCAAAAACAGAUGAAUAUGCAGCUUGUGGCUAAAGCUACCCCUGAAUGGUCUGUGAAGACAGAGAUAGCCCAAAGCCCUCCAGGUCUCAACACAUUCAUCCUUUGCUAAGACCUGGGCAAUGGACCAGGACUGUGUCCCCAGAAAAGGCCACAGGCUCUCAAGAGACAGCCCCUUUGCCAGACUGCAGCCAGAAAAAUCUCUACCACCCAAUCCCGGUCCAGCUGUUCUGCCCUGCUCACCCCUCACCCUAGUUCUGAGGCCAGAAGUAGGGAGGGAGGCCCUGGCUGGCUCACUUCCUCUCUCAUUGUCUUCCAGACAAUGGGCAAAGUUCCACUGAGUCAGAUCAGGGACUGACAACACCAAAGACCCAAAUUAGGAUGGGGGGGUGGGGGGGAAUGCUGUGGGGAAGGAAGCUGUCAGCAGAGCCAGUUGACUAAAGGAACCUGAAGACCAGAAAGCAAGGGGGGGCAGCAGUGAUGCGGGGCAGAAAGAACAAGGCAAACACGUCCAGACAGUCCCUGCUAACCCUUUCUGGACACUGGCCCGACACUCAAAGGAAGGAACACUUGUCAACAAGUCCCAGCUCCUGCACAUAGAGAGGCUGUGAAACCCUUACAGCACACAGGCUGUUCACAUGUCUGUCUGUGGUGGAGACAGAUACUUAGUCAGGGAGCACCACAAGUGCCCUGUCAGAUAAGAGUCUGGAGGAGGGAGGUCUCUACAAAGUGUGAGGGAAUUGGUGAGAUUAUACCUCUGGGCAACAGAAGGCUCCUAGGCCCAGCAGCAGUGUGAGACCCUUGGGGUGCCCCUCCAGCCCCUCACAGCCUACUCACACACCUUGCUCAUCCAUGACUUGCGUUUGCACAUGGCCUUCCUCCUCUUCACAGCCUCCCACAGCCGCCUCUGGCCUGCAAGGAGGGAAAGUGAACAGAGGACUGUCAGACAGCUCACACACCCUCCCCAAGGAAGCCACUGUCCACCUGACCAGCUCCCUCAGUUCCUGGGAUAGGCCCACCACUAGAUACCACUCAACCCAAUGCCACCAACUGAAUCAGUUGCCAACUAGGAGUUUCAUUCACCCAGUCUCUACAUUCUGCCUCUGGAUGAUUCUCAAACUGGCUGGAGGUGUUUCCUCAUCCAAACUGAACAGUUGUAGUGGCCAAUUACCGCACCAACUCUCCAGACAACGCAGGUUCCUGUCCUAUUGAGACCUCCUGACCUGAUUUCCUUUAAGAACAGUGAUGUGAAAGUAUAAACUAAAUAAACCCUUUCCU
Molecule: non-coding RNA, 1434 nt
Organism: Arvicanthis niloticus (Nile rat)
Lineage: Eukaryota; Metazoa; Chordata; Mammalia; Rodentia; Muridae
Source: RefSeq, a predicted model, not a curated record